GACGAACGCUGGCGGCGUGCCUAAUGCAUGCAAGUCGAGCGACGCACACCGAAGGGGUAACCCAUCGGUAUGACGGAGCGGCGAACGGGUGAGUAACACGUGAGCAACCUGCCCCACAGACCGGAAUAGCCCAGGGAAACCUGGAUUAAUGCCGGAUACCCUCGAGUGACCACAUGAUCAUUUGAGGAAAUGCCUUUGUGCUGUGGGAUGGGCUCGCGGCUUAUCAGCUAGUUGGUGGGGUAACGGCCUACCAAGGCAUCGACGAGUAGCUGGUCUGAGAGGACGAUCAGCCACACUGGGACUGAGACACGGCCCAGACUCCUACGGGAGGAG
Molecule: ribosomal RNA, 333 nt
Filed under: uncultured Actinomycetes bacterium
Lineage: Bacteria; Bacillati; Actinomycetota; Actinomycetes
Description: bacterial SSU rRNA
Rfam family: Bacterial small subunit ribosomal RNA
Source: RNAcentral